GCUGAACCUUAAUAAAUCCGAUAGAAUUUCACAGAACGGAGGACGCUUUAUUGGGUUAUUGUUCCAGCACUUAGUCAUCAGAGAAUUCAAGAUUUGUGGGCAGUCCUUAGGAAUCUCCGGUCUCAGGCCGCAUGCAGCUAUUCCAACUGCUGCCUGCACAGGUGAACAUGCAGCAUAAGCUGCCUCACCUGUCACCAUCUCCCAAAUCACCAUCCCAAAACUAUAUACAUUACUCAUCCAUGUCUCAAUGACACUCUCUGGAUCACCAGCAAUGAUCUCUGGGGCUAGCCAUCGGUAACCAUCUGUUUCAUACUCCAUCGCCUCACCCAUACUCUUGCAAGCAGUGACUAUUCCCAUAUCCCCUAAGCAUGCAUUCCCAUGCCUGUCCAAUAGAAUCCUCUGUGUAUUAAGGUCUCUAUAUGCAACACCAUGAUCAUUCAUGAAUUUAA
Molecule: unclassified non-coding RNA, 449 nt
Filed under: Hevea brasiliensis (rubber tree)
Lineage: Eukaryota; Viridiplantae; Streptophyta; Magnoliopsida; Malpighiales; Euphorbiaceae
Source: RNAcentral